GAUGAACGCUAGCGGCAGGCCUAAUACAUGCAAGUCGAGCGGCAAGUCGAGGAGUAAUCUGAGACCUAGAGCGGCGUACGGGUGCGUAACGCGUAUGCAACCUACCUCAUACAGGGGGAUAGCCCGGAGAAAUCUGGAUUAAUACCCCAUAGCACAGCACAAGGGCAUCUGCGAGCUGUUAAAGAUUCAUCGGUAUGAGAUGGGCAUGCGUAUGAUUAGCUAGUUGGCGGUGUAACGGACCACCAAGGCGACGAUCAGUAGGGGUUCUGAGAGGAAGGUCCCCCGCACGGGCGCUGUGAUACGGGGCAGGCUCCUAAGGGAGGCAGCAGUAGGGAAUAUUGGGCAAUGGACGAGAGUCUGACCCAGCCAUGCCGCGUGCCGGAAGAAGGCCUUCUGUGUUGUAAACUGCUUUUAUCUGGGAAGAAAAGGCCCAUGCGUGGGACAUUGCCGGUACCAGAUGAAUAAGCACCGGCUAACUCCGUGCCAGCCGCCGCAGUAA
Molecule: ribosomal RNA, 499 nt
Filed under: uncultured bacterium
Lineage: Bacteria
Description: partial 16S ribosomal RNA
Rfam family: Bacterial small subunit ribosomal RNA
Source: RNAcentral